GAAGAGGUGACUCAUAUGACUGCAAAGGGGCGUUAGUUGUUGUUGCGCCGGAGCCAGUAAGAAAAGAACUGACGUCGACCGUCUAGUUGUAAGAAAUAUAUACGUAAGUUACCCAGUACGAAUCAAAGAGCUAUCAUAAACUGCCGUGUCAUCACUCCCAGUAAUGUCAAUGAGACCUCAAGUAAUCCAGCUUUAUAAAAAUUUAUUGCACCUAGGUCGUGAAUAUCCCUUGGGCUACGAAUACUUUCGUGAGAAGCUGAAGAAGGCAUUUAUAAAAAACAGAGAAGUAACUGAUCCAGAGCAAAUUAAGAUGAUGAUUUCUCGAGGAGAAUUCGUCAUCAAAGAAUUGGAAGCCUUGUACAUGUUGCGUAAAUACAGAACGAUAAAGAAAAGGUAUUAUGAAGAUUAGAUUUUGUGGUAAAUAGCCAUAACAUCAUGUCAGAAUGCCUGAUUCUUUCUGCAGAACUAGGCAAAAGGUGAUAUUCUUUACUUAAGGUCUUUCAGAUAAGUCUUGAUACAUUAGUACUAGUUUUAACAUGUAAAUAUUCCCACUGUAUUUAAUGGGGUGUGUAUAUUUUACCUAAUACUAGCUAUGUAGUUAAACAUGUACAGUAGAUAUUCUGAAUUGGAGAGUAGAUGGGAUUGUAUGCAAGGGAUUGUAAACAAUAUAAUGGACUUUAGACCAAUAACCUUUAUAAUCUUAAUGAGACACUUCCAAGUACAGUAGUCACUUAGUUGGUUCAAAACUAACCACAGUAUUUU
This is a long non-coding RNA of Macrobrachium nipponense, 762 nucleotides long. RefSeq lists it as uncharacterized. The transcript has 3 exons. Lineage: Eukaryota; Metazoa; Arthropoda; Malacostraca; Decapoda; Palaemonidae. The record is from RefSeq and is a predicted model, not a curated record.